GCCUGCGUCCCAUCAGCUUGUUGGUGAGGUAACGGCUCACCAAGGCGACGACGGGUAGCUGGUCUGAGAGGAUGAUCAGCCACACUGGGACUGAGACACGGCCCAGACUCCUACGGGAGGCAGCAGUGGGGAAUAUUGGACAAUGGGCGAAAGCCUGAUCCAGCAAUGCCGCGUGAGUGAUGAAGGCCUUCGGGUUGUAAAGCUCUGUCGGGAGGGACGAAUGGUGCCGGGUAACUCCGGUAAUUGACGGUACCUCCAAAGGAAGCACCGGCUAACUCUGUGCCAGCAGCCGCGGUAAUACAGAGGGUGCAAGCGUUGUUCGGAAUUACUGGGCGUAAAGCGCGUGUAGGCGGCGUUAUAAGUCGGAUGUGAAAGCCCUCGGCUCAACCGAGGAAGUGCAUCUGAUACUGUAGUGCUUGAGUGUCGGAGGGGGUGGCGGAAUUCCCGGUGUAGAGGUGAAAUUCGUAGAUAUCGGGAGGAACACCUGUGGCGAAGGCGGCCACCUGGACGACAACUGACGCUGAGACGCGAAAGCGUGGGUAGCAACAGGAUUAGAUACCCUGGUAGUCCACGCUGUAAACGAUGAGUGCUAGACGCUGUGGGUAUUGACCCCUGCCGGUGUCGAAGUUAACACGUUUAAGCACUCCCGCCUGGGGAGUACGGUCGCAAGAUUAAAACUCCUAGGAAUUGACGG
RNAcentral lists this ribosomal RNA (694 nucleotides) under uncultured bacterium. Its description in RNAcentral is "bacterial SSU rRNA". It matches the Rfam family "Bacterial small subunit ribosomal RNA", at positions 229 to 916 of the family's 1533-position model. The record is from RNAcentral.